GCUGUAGCUCAGCUGAAGAGCACCUGCCUUGCAUGCAGAAGUACUUAAGUUCAAUUCUCAGCAUCUCCA
Podarcis lilfordi (Lilford's wall lizard) is the source of this 69-nucleotide non-coding RNA. Lineage: Eukaryota; Metazoa; Chordata; Lepidosauria; Squamata; Lacertidae. The record is from the annotation of a GenBank genome assembly.